GGAAGGACAUUAAUGAAAUGAAUGUUGAGAAGGGUUGUAGCUGGCCUUUUGGGGCAUGUGCACACCCUGAUCACACAUCCACCUCUCACACUUGUGCACUAUGUGUAGCUUGGGAUGAUUACGAUGUUAGAAAUGAUGUCGAAAGCCCUAGCUAUGAAUUUUUAUAAACUCAUAUAUAAAACUACAGAAUGAAUGAUAGUUAUAGCAUGUAACAGUGCAUAUAUAUAUAUACAACUUUCAGCAACGGAUCUCUUGGCUCUCGCAUCGAUGAAGAACGCAGCGAAAUGCGAUAAGUAAUGUGAAUUGCAGAAUUCAGUGAAUCAUCGAAUCUUUGAACGCACCUUGCGCUCCUUGGUAUUCCGAGGAGCAUGCCUGUUUGAGUGUCAUGAAAUUCUCAACUGCCUUUUAGCAUUUAUUGUUAAAGGUGAAGUUGGACUUGGAGGAUAACUGCUGGCGCAACUUAGGUUGCUUGUUAGCUCCUCUUAAAUGGAUGAGCUUUUCUGAUGGAUCAUAGCUCAGAGUAGUAUCAAUGUGAUAAUUAUCUACAUUAGAUGUGAAAGCUGUGAGUAGAGCAACUUUUUGCUCCUACAGAGAAGGAAAUGUUUUGGGGAUAAUAAACCCAUAUACAAUGACAAAUCUGACCUCAAAUCAGGUAGGACUACCCGCUGAACUUAAGCAUAUCAAUAAGCGGAGGAAAAGAAACUAACAAGGAUUCCCCUAGUAACUGCGAGUGAAGCGGGAAAAGCUCAAAUUUAAAAUCUGGCAUGCCUUUGGCUGUCCGAGUUGUAGUCUGGAGAAGUGUUUUCCGUGCUGGACCAUGUACAAGUCCCUUGGAAUAGGGCGUCAUAGAGGGUGAGAAUCCCGUCUUUGACAUGGACUACCAGUACUUUGUGAUGCGCUCUCAAAGAGUCGAGUUGUUU
This 920-nucleotide ribosomal RNA is filed under the name uncultured fungus. Its description in RNAcentral is "eukaryotic LSU rRNA". The stretch from base 639 to 920 matches the Rfam family "Eukaryotic large subunit ribosomal RNA", at positions 1 to 275 of the family's 3401-position model. The record is from RNAcentral. Lineage: Eukaryota; Fungi.